UUUUCCUACGGGACGCAGCAGUCGGGAAUAUUGCGCAAUGGAGGAAACUCUGACGCAGUGACGCCGCGUGCAGGAAGAAGGUUUUCGGAUUGUAAACUGCUUUAGACAGGGAAGAAACAAGACAGUACCUGUAGAAUAAGCUCCGGCUAACUACGUGCCAGCAGCCGCGGUAAUACGUAGGGAGCAAGCGUUAUCCGGAUUUAUUGGGUGUAAAGGGUGCGUAGACGGGAAAUUAAGUUAGUUGUGAAAUCCCUCGGCUCAACUGAGGAACUGCAACUAAAACUGAUUUUCUUAAGU
This 297-nucleotide ribosomal RNA is filed under the name uncultured bacterium. Its description in RNAcentral is "partial 16S ribosomal RNA". It matches the Rfam family "Bacterial small subunit ribosomal RNA", at positions 334 to 647 of the family's 1533-position model. The record is from RNAcentral.